UACGGAGGGUGCGAGCGUUGUCCGGAAUCAUUGGGCGUAAAGGGCGCGUAGGUGGCGGGACAAGCGUGCGGUGAAAGCUCGGGGCUCAACCCCGAGUCGGCCGUGCGAACUGUCUUGCUUGAGCACUGUAGAGGCAGGCGGAAUUCCGGGUGUAGCGGUGGAAUGCGUAGAGAUCCGGAAGAACACCGGUGGCGAAGGCGGCCUGCUGGGCAGUUGCUGACACUGAUGCGCGAAAGCGUGGGGAGCAAACAGG
This 253-nucleotide ribosomal RNA is filed under the name uncultured bacterium. RNAcentral's name for it is "partial 16S ribosomal RNA". It matches the Rfam family "Bacterial small subunit ribosomal RNA", at positions 524 to 776 of the family's 1533-position model. The record is from RNAcentral.